This 253-nucleotide ribosomal RNA is filed under the name uncultured bacterium. Its description in RNAcentral is "partial 16S ribosomal RNA". It matches the Rfam family "Bacterial small subunit ribosomal RNA", at positions 524 to 776 of the family's 1533-position model. The record is from RNAcentral.
UACGUAGGGGGCAAGCGUUGUCCGGAUUUAUUGGGCGUAAAGAGCGUGUAGGCGGUCUGGUAGGUCCGUUGUGAAAACUCGAGGCUCAACCUCGAGACGCCGAUGGAAACCCUCAGACUAGAGUCCGGAAGAGGAGAGUGGAAUUCCUGGUGUAGCGGUGAAAUGCGCAGAUAUCGGGAGGAACACCAGUAGCGAAGGCGGCUCGCUGGGCCAUUCCUGACGCUGAGACGCGAAAGCUAGGGGAGCGAACAGG